UAACGUGAGCGAUCUUUCCGUGUUUAACGUUGUGGUUUAUGGGAGUAGUAGUUUUGUAAUUUUCUUUAGCAAUGAUUCCCAAUUAGGCUUAAACUACAAGUAUGUCGUAUUUCUUUGGAGGUUAGAAGAAUUGAAAGUUGGGAGUUGUAUUUUUCUAAAUAUUUUGCGACCCAGAUGUUUGUGGUCUGACGGAACACUUUCUGGGACAAAACUUCUAGCGUUAGAGAGUGAGAGAGUCAGGAAGAUACUGAUCAGAGGAACAAAUAACUUUAAAAAAAUAUACAUUCAUUAUCCUAAUGUUGACAGUUGCUAAAUGCAUAUUUUUCUCAAUUAUUCCGUGAUUUCUAACAGAGUAAGUAAGGAUCUAGGAUCAGGGCAGGCAGGGGACCUGGACGUGCAGCCAAGCCCACCAAGGAUGCACUGAGCUGGGGAACAUCUGCUGUGGCCUCCCCCUAGCACUGCCAUGGCAUCUGACCCUUCACCCCCAAGCCCCGCCCCUCUGGGCUCCCAGGUCCACGCAGCCGCCGUCAACGGAGACCGGAGCGUCCUCCUCAGACUCAUCACAGUGGAUCCCUCCCUGCGUGACCGUGAGGACCAGUUUGGGCGUACCCCACUGAUGUACUGUGUCCUGGCUGACCGUCUGGACUGUGCUGAGACACUGCUGAAGGCGGGAGCCUCUGUUAACAAGACUGACCAUAGCCAACGUACUGCGCUGCACCUGGCAGCACAGAAGGUACACUACAACACUGAGUUAACCUGGAACCACUAAAGGAAACACUAGAACAGUAGUGGAACCAUCAGAACACUGAGUUAACCUGUAGAACACUAAAGCAAACACUAGAACAGUAGUGGAACCAUCAGAACACUGAGUUAACCUGUAGAACACUAAAGGAAACACUAGAACAGUAGUGGAACCAUCAGAACACUGAGUCAAUCUGUAGAACACUAAAGGAAACACUAGAACAGUAGUGGAACCAUCAGAACACUGAGUUAACCUGUAGAACACUAAAGGAAACACUAGAACAGUAGUGGAACCAUCAGAACACUGAGUUAACCUGUAGAACACUAAAGGAAACACUAGAACAGUAGUGGAACCAUCAGAACACUGAAUUAACCUGUAGAACACUAAAGGAAACACUAGAACAGUAGUGGAACCAUCAGAACACUGAGUUAACCUGUAGAACACUAAAGGAAACACUACAACAGUAGUGGAACCAUCAGAACAUGGAGUUAACCUGUAGAACACUAAAGGAAACACUAGAACAGUAGUGGAACCAUCAGAACACUGAGUUAACCUGUAGAACGCUAAAGGAAACACUAGAACAGUAGUGGAACCAUCAGAACACUGAGUUAACCUGUAGAACACUAAAGGAAACCCUAGAACAGUAGUGGAACCACCAGAACACUGAGUUAACCUGUAGAACACUAAAGGAAACACUAGAACAGUAGUGGAACCAUCAGAACAUUGAGUCAAUCUGUAGAACACUAAAGGAAACACUAGAAAAUAGUGGAACCAUCAGAACAUUGAGUUAACCUGUAGAACAUUAAAGGAAACACUAGAACAGUAGUGGAACCAUCAGAACACUGAAUCAACCUGUAGAACACUAAAGGAAACACUACAACAGUAGUGGAACCAUCAGAACACUGAGUUAACCUGUAGAACACUAAAGGAAACACUAGAACAGUAGUGGAACCAUCAGAACACUGAAUUAACCUGUAGAACACUAAAGGAAACACUAGAACAGUAGUGGAACCAUCAGAACACUGAGUUAACCUGUAGAACACUAAAGGAAACACUACAACAGUAGUGGAACCAUCAGAACAUGGAGUUAACCUGUAGAACACUAAAGGAAACACUAGAACAGUAGUGGAACCAUCAGAACACUGAGUUAACCUGUAGAACACUAAAGGAAACCCUAGAACAGUAGUGGAACCACCAGAACACUGAGUUAACCUGUAGAACACUAAAGGAAACACUAGAACAGUAGUGGAACCAUCAGAACAUUGAGUCAAUCUGUAGAACACUAAAGGAAACACUAGAAAAUAGUGGAACCAUCAGAACAUUGAGUUAACCUGUAGAACAUUAAAGGAAACACUAGAACAGUAGUGGAACCAUCAGAACACUGAAUCAACCUGUAGAACACUAAAUUAAACACUAGAACAGUAGUGGAACCAUCAGAACACUGAGUUAACCUGUAGAACACUAAAGGAAACACUAGAACUCUUUCCAUGACAUAGACUGACCAGGUGAUUCCAUGUGAAAGCUAUGAUCCCUUAUUGAUGUCACUUGUUAAAUCCACUUCUGUCCGUGUAGAUGAAGAGGAGGAGACAGGUUAAAGAAGGAUUUUUAAGCAUUGACACAAUUAAGACAUAGAUAGGGGCAACUCAAUUUUAGGAAGGUGUUCGUAAUGUUUGGUAUACUCAGUGUAUAUCACAUACUGGUAGCUUAGGUGAGAAGGUAGUGCCCCCCAGUGGUGACAGACAGACACCCUCAGUGCGGCUGUUAAGAACUAGACAAGGGGAUCGGCAACUUUGAUGAGGGUGGGGGCCACAAAAAAUCUGAGCGAAAUGUGUACUUUGUGAGCUAAAUGUACUUUGUGAGCUAAACAUUAUAAACACCCCCCUCUUGACAGUGAAAACUUCAGAGUUAAUUUACUGCAAUUCUACACAUUUUGCCAUGGGGCAUAGAGUAAACGAAGUUUUAAAGCAAGUUUGCUGCAAUUCUACACAUUUUGCCAUGGGGCAUAGAGUAAACGAAGUUUUAAAGCAAGUUUGCUGCAAAUCUACACAUUUUGCCAUGGGGCAUAGAGUAAAUGAAGUUUUAAAGCAAGUUUGCUGCAAAUCGACACAUUUUGCCAUGGGGCAUAGAGUAAAUGAAGUUUUAAAGCAAGUUUGCUGCAAAUCUACACAUUUUGCCAUGGGGCAUAGAGUAAAUGAAGUUUUAAAGCAAGUUUGCUGCAAAUCUACACAUUUUGCCAUGGGGCAUAGAGUAAAUGAAGUUUUAAAGCAAGUUUGCUGCAAAUCUACACAUUUUGCCAUGGGGCAUAGAGUAAAUGAAGUUUUAAAGCAAGUUUGCUGCAAAUCUACACAUUUUGCCAUGGGGCAUAGAGUAAAUGAAGUUUUAAAGCAAGUUUGCUGCAAAUCUACACAUUUUGCCAUGGCUCGGGGAAAAGAUUUUGUAAUUCUACAACUCAUUUCAUGCAAUUUGACAAAUUUUGCCUUGGGGCAGGGAGAAACAUUUUCUGUUUUAAAGCUCAUUUCCCCCGGUCAGUAAUUGAUAUCAAGUUUAGAUAGCUGGCCACAAGACUAACUUACCAUAUAAAAUGUUUUAGCUGACAUGGCUAAUUGAGUGACUAUCAGUGACUGACAUCACAAGUGAAAAACUGUUGAUGCACAACCAAGUUUCAAAAUGUCACCUUGUGUAUUCUACUAUUCCAACUCUCAGCAGUAAGUUGAGACCCCGACUGAGUUCCUAAAAAAGAUAUCUAGAUCUAGAAAAUGAAUUGAAAGACUGGGCUGUAUGAGCAGUAAUAUCUCUAUAGAAAGUGUUUAUUAGCCUUGUCCUGGGGGGGGGGGGGGCUGUCAGGGCAGGUGAGGAGCGGUGGCUGGAGGAGCGGAGGAGGGUGCUCACACACACACUCUAACACACACACACUCCAAUUGUAAUGUGUGUGGGGUGAUGGGAGGCCCUCUCUCUCUCUGACACCUGAUCAAUAUCUAGCUGAGACAGGGAGAGACUUCUGGGAUUACUGAUCUAAUUGGACUGAGAAUAGGGAGGAUAGACCAUAUGUACACACACGCGCACACACACUCACACACACACUCAUACACACACACACACACACACACACACACACACACACACACACACACACACACACACACACAUACAGGCCUAUAUGGACACACAUUUGCACGUGCACACACAUAUAUACAUACAUACACACACACACACACACACUUUCUCAAAGCUCACACAUACUCUCACAUGCAUGCUCAGUCAGCAGAUAGAUCUGUCAAACGAUGAGGCUGGAAGGAAUAGAUAGGAGAGAGUCUGAGAACUAACAGGAAAGAACAGAGAGGAGAAGAGAGGAGAGAGUCUGAGAACCAAUAAGAAAGAACAGAGAGGAGAAGAGAGGAGAGGAGAGAGUCUGAGAACCAACAGGAAAGAACAGAGAGGAGAGAGUCUGAGAACCAACAGGAAAGAACAGAGAGGAGAAGAGAGGAGAGAGUCUGCGAACCAACAGGAAAGAACAGAGAGGAGAGAGUCUGAGAACCAACAGGAAAGAACAGAGAGGAGAAGAGAAGAGAGGAGAGAGUCUGAGAACCAACAGGAAAGAACAGAGAGGAGAGAGUCUGAGAACCAACAGGAAAGAACAGAGAGGAGAAGAGAGUGGAGAGAGUCUGAGAACCAACAGGAAAGAAGAGAGAGGAGAAGAGAGAGGAGAGAGUCUGAGAACCAAUAGGAAAGAAGAGAGAGGAGAAGAGAGAGGAGAGAGUCUGAGAACCAACAGGAAAGAACAGAGAGGAGAGAGUCUGAGAACCAACAGGAAAGAACAGAGAGGAGAAGAGAGAGGAGAGAGUCUGAGAACCAAUAAGAAAGAACAGAGAAGAGAGAGAAGAGAGUCUGAGAACCAACAGGAAAUAACAGAGAGGAGAAGAGAGGAGAGAGUCUGAGAACCAACAGGAAAGAAGAGAGAGGAGAAGAGAGAGGAGAGAGUCUGAGAACCAACAGGAAAUAACAGAGAGGAGAAGAGAGAGAAGAGAGUCUGAGAACCAACAGGAAAUAACAGAGAGGAGAAGAGAGGAGAGAGUCUGAGAACCAACAGGAAAGAACAGAGAGGAGCGAGUCUGAGAACCAACAGGAAAGAACAGAGAGGAGAAGAGAAGAGAGGAGAGAGUCUGAGAACCAACAGGAAAGAACAGAGAGGAGAAGAGAAGAGAGGAGAGAGUCUGAGAACCAACAGGAAAGAACAGAGAGGAGAGAGUCUGAGAACCAACAGGAAAGAACAGAGAGAAGAGAGUCUGAGAACCAACAGGAAAGAACAGAGAGGAGAAGAGAGAGGAGAGAGUCUGAGAACCAAUAAGAAAGAACAGAGAAGAGAGAGAAGAGAGUCUGAGAACCAACAGGAAAGAACAGAGAGGAGAAGAGAGUGGAGAGAGUCUGAGAACCAAUAGGAAAGAAGAGAGAGGAGAAGAGAGAGGAGAGAGUCUGAGAACCAAUAGGAAAGGACAGAGAGGAGAAGAGAGAGGAGAGAGUCUGAGAACCAACAGGAAAGAACAGAGAGGAGAGAGUCUGAGAACCAACAGGAAAGAACAGAGAGGAGAAGAGAGUGGAGAGAGUCUGAGAACCAAUAAGAAAGAACAGAGAAGAGAGAGAAGAGAGUCUGAGAACCAACAGAAAAUAACAGAGAGGAGAAGAGAGGAGAGAGUCUGAGAACCAAUAGGAAAGAAGAGAGAGGAGAAGAGAGAGGAGAGAGUCUGAGAACCAAUAGGAAAGGACAGAGAGGAGAAGAGAGAGGAGAGAGUCUGAGAACCAACAGGAAAGAACAGAGAGGAGAGAGUCUGAGAACCAACAGGAAAGAACAGAGAGGAGAAGAGAGUGGAGAGAGUCUGAGAACCAAUAAGAAAGAACAGAGAAGAGAGAGAAGAGAGUCUGAGAACCAACAGGAAAUAACAGAGAGGAGAAGAGAGGAGAGAGUCCGAGAACCAACAGGAAAGAACAGAGAGGAGAAGAGAGGAGAGAGUCUGAGAACCAACAGGAAAGAACAGAGAGGAGCGAGUCUGAGAACCAACAGGAAAGAACAGAGAGGAGAAGAGAGAGGAGCGAGUCUGAGAACCAAUAAGA
This is a long non-coding RNA of Salvelinus fontinalis (brook trout), 5848 nucleotides long. RefSeq lists it as uncharacterized. NCBI's taxonomy places the organism in Eukaryota, Metazoa, Chordata, Actinopteri, Salmoniformes, Salmonidae. The record is from RefSeq and is a predicted model, not a curated record. The transcript has 4 exons.